This 2303-nucleotide long non-coding RNA is filed under the name Equus asinus (donkey). RNAcentral describes it as "lncRNA (ENSEASG00005033741.1)". The record is from RNAcentral. Lineage: Eukaryota; Metazoa; Chordata; Mammalia; Perissodactyla; Equidae.
CGGGAACCAACCCCGGCGUCUACCAGAGUCCGAGAGCGCAACUCGAGGCGCUCCUCUUGGCUCCUGAUUGUAGGUUUAAGUCCAGAUUUAACGCCUCCACGGGGAUAGUACACGAGAUUAAUGGUUUGGGUUUUGUUCGCUUCCAUUGAGCUUUUAUUUUAAAAUGUAAUUGGUCGCAGAGACAGAGAGAGAAAACUGACCAAAUUUGCUGUCUCCGAAGCCUCUCAGUUCAGCUCUGCAUUUAAACCAAUGUCUGCUUGGCGAAGAGCGCCAACCUUCCCGCCUCACCCUCACCGCCACACUUACUGCCUGCGUCCUAAGUAUACACGCGCUUCCCUGCCCAACGCCCUCCCAGUCUCACAGACCCACAACCACGCACACCGCCCCGGGUCCCGUAAAUUCUGGACGGGGUGCCGUGAGGGUCAAUUUCGCCGCCUAGUCGUCCCUCAGUGGCCGCAGAUUCCUCUCCACCUCAUCCCCAGGCGCUCCUGGAAAAGGCCCCAGAGGCCCCAGGAAGUGGCUUUCACGGUACCACAGGUUUCUCUUCCGAGAGCGCCUUGAGGAUCAGCCCGAAAGCAGGGACGCUGCCUGGGAAACUGGAGAUGGAGCGAGUUCUGCCAACCCUCCCCAGCCGCGCUGCCAAUGGCCCCCUCUCCUGCGCCCCCUUUCCUCCAGCCGCCUCUCGGUUCAAAGCCCCACAUCGCCUUGCUACCCGACGUUCCCGCGUGGCUCGCGCGGCCCAGGACCCCAGCCUUCCGGGCGGGCGUGUUCAGCUGCUAUAGAUCCCGGGAGCGGCGACCGCCCCUGGCCGCUUCCCUCCUUGCCCACCGCGCCUUUGUUCCGCCUAGGACCCCCAGAAAAGCGCGGUGAGGCCGUGAAAGGAGGCGCUUGGGCGCCGGGCUGCAGGAAUGCCAGCGGGUCCCUGAAGGAAGAGCAGGGAGCGAGCCGGUGCGUCCUGGACCCUGCGGGACCCGGAGACCACGCAAACUCCGUAGAGACACGGAGACAGUCCGUGGCACCGGGCUCUGGAGAGACGACUUCCUGACUUCAGCGGUGUGAAGAUGGUACAAUACUUUUUGGUGCUGACAUUCAGCUGUCCCCCAGGCAGGUUCGCUGAUAUCCCUGCUGGUGGAGAGGGGCUGGGGGCUGUCUGGAAAUAUAGCUCUGCUGACAGGGUGGCAGAGGAUUUGGGGUCCAAUCGCUGUUCAAAUUAGACUUGGCAGUCUUUACCUCGGAGGCCUCAGGAGUCUCAGGGGUCUCAGUAGGAGAGAAGUUACAGAAACUUAGAACACAGGAAGGCAGAUGUCGGGGGCUCCUUGUCUCAGUCCUUGUACUGCCAUGCUAAAGCAAAGCCCAGGGAUAGUAGAAAGAGAUCCCAGAGAGCAGGGCUGUGAGGUUCCAGGUGGGAUCUUGGCCCUGGCUCCUGGGAGAUUAAGAAUUCCUCUGCAAGUUUUGGAAAGUCCUACAAGAGCCAUUUAUUCAUAAUCUUUGGGCAGUAAAUGCGACCUCUUUUCACUGCUCAGUGGCUGGUAGGGGAGCAUUUCCAGCUUGUCUGGCCCUCAUUUGGGAGUCUAUCAUUUUCUUGCUCAUGUUCCAGUUUGGACUUAUAGAUGAAAACCCCAAACUUCCCAGCGCUUGUGUUUUUCUUUUCUCUCAGGCCAUUCAUAAUCUAGCCAACAUUGUAGGCCAUUGGCCCACACACAUUUUGAAAGGUGAGCCAGCAGGCCUGUUCCUGUGUGCAAGGUCGUUUUCAUCCGGGCUCAAGGGAGGAUAUAGUUUCCCCUUAAAGGAGAGAAGCAGGAAACGAUUUCUAUGAAUCUUUUAACGAAGGAUUUACUACUAAUUUGAUAAGUUCAAUGCUCUUUUUACUCAUUCUGAGUGAAUAACGUUGUCAGUCAACCCAAGCGGCUGCCGAACCUAUAAAAAUGUGUCCUUUGGUCUCCCUGUUUAACACAUGCAGGGGCUUGGCCCUGCCUCUGACAGACGGGAGGAGUAGAAACAUUCCAGAGAUCAGGUCUCAGAGUGUUAUCUCUUCCUCCAUCCCAAAUCCUCACCCUCCAUUUUAUCUUUCUUUGCUACAAAUGCAGAGACCUCCUAGGGAAGUGUGAAAGGAUGGGUUUUAAUCAGGUUUAGAGAAGGAAGGGGAAUAAGUUGAACCCAAAGAAAGAUGGGGACAGUUGGAAUUUUUUGAUGAUGCUUUGUUAUACCUCUCAUGUGUUGUAUAUUAUAUCCUACAAAUUAUGCAUUUAUUGCAAGAAUCUACAGUGUAUAUGCGGCAUUUGCCAAAUGCUGCUUGGCCAAAA